Rhincodon typus (whale shark) is the source of this 280-nucleotide long non-coding RNA. RefSeq lists it as uncharacterized. The record is from RefSeq and is a predicted model, not a curated record. NCBI's taxonomy places the organism in Eukaryota, Metazoa, Chordata, Chondrichthyes, Orectolobiformes, Rhincodontidae. The transcript has 2 exons.
GCCGGAAGAGUGGGCCGACAGGAUUUAAAAUCCUCCACGGUAGAGAUGAAAGAUUUCCAGCAUCCACAGAAUUUUGCCUUUAUUUGAGGUAGCUCCCAAGUCUACCUCAACUGGAACAGGAAUGAAUUCGGAUCAUUGAUACUGCUCUGACCUGCAGACCAGUCAUCUAGCCCAGGGAGCUAACCAGUCCCCUAACUGUAGAAUAAAAGGCACCUAUAUGAAGAAUUUAAAGUAGGAGAAAAUGGUUUUGCACCAAUAAACGAGUAAGAUAUAAAAUGGA